RNAcentral lists this ribosomal RNA (139 nucleotides) under uncultured eukaryote. Its description in RNAcentral is "partial 18S ribosomal RNA". It matches the Rfam family "Eukaryotic small subunit ribosomal RNA", at positions 1299 to 1458 of the family's 1831-position model. The record is from RNAcentral.
UCGUGGAUUGAUUUGUCUGCUUAAUUGCGAUAACGAGCGAGACCUCCACGCUAUAAUAGUUACGUGAUCUCGCGAUCACGGGCAACUUCUUUAGCGGACUGUUGCGUGUUUUAACCAAAGGAAGAUGGAGGCCAUAACA